Daktulosphaira vitifoliae (grape phylloxera) is the source of this 388-nucleotide long non-coding RNA. RefSeq lists it as uncharacterized. The record is from RefSeq and is a predicted model, not a curated record. Lineage: Eukaryota; Metazoa; Arthropoda; Insecta; Hemiptera; Phylloxeridae. The transcript has 3 exons.
AGUAUAUAUAAUUUUACAUAUUUUCAUAAUACUUUGUAUUAUAAUCAAACUGAAAACUAUAUUACAGAUGAUUAUAAAUAAAGGUGGUGUCAUAAAUAAAGUAAUUUUUACUAAAUCGCCUCCUCACAAAAGUGUGCCGAAAAAAAACACCAAUAAAAGAUGUUACAGUUGCCAUUCUUUUGGCCAUUUAUCGAUAAAUUGUUACAAAAAAAAAGCACUAAAUAAAAAAAAAAACACCGAAAAAGUUAAAACACAGGAAAAAAAAAAACCAUAUAAGAAAAAAAAUAAUUCUACCAAAUGGUGCAAUUAUUGCCAAAAAAUGUCAAAACACACACCAGAAAAAUGUUGGUAUAAAAAUAAAAAAAAAUACCAAGGCAAAAAAUAAAAA